ACGAACGCUGGCGGCGUGCUUAACACAUGCCAGUCGAACGGGCCCGCCCCUGUUUUUGGGGGUGGGUUGAGUGGCGAACGGGUGAGUAUCACGUGAGUAACCUGCCCCCUGCUCCUGGAUAACUGCUUGAAAGGGCGGCUAAUACGGGGUGUGCCGGCUGGUCCGCAUGGGCCUGGUCGGGAUAGUUUCAUCUUCGGGUGUUUCGGUGGGGGAUGGGCUCGCGGCCUAUCAGCUUGUUGGUGGGGUGAUGGCCCACCAAGGCGGUGACGGGUAGCCGGACUGAGAGGGUGGGCGGCCACACUGGGACUGAGACACGGCCCAGACUCCGGCGGGAGGCAGCAGGGGGGGGUAGUGAACAAUGGGCGGAAGCCUGAUGCAGCGACGUCGCGUGAGGGAUGGAGGCCGUCGGGUUGUGAACCUCUUUCUCCGGUGGUGAAGGCCCUGUCCGUUGCGGCGGGGUUGACGGUAGCCGGGUAUGAAGCGCCGGCUAACUACGUG
Molecule: ribosomal RNA, 498 nt
Filed under: uncultured bacterium
Lineage: Bacteria
Description: partial 16S ribosomal RNA
Rfam family: Bacterial small subunit ribosomal RNA
Source: RNAcentral